AAGCUUCCAUUAGAAGAACUUCUUGGUUCUCUCAUGACCCAUGAGUUAAUUAUGAAGUAAAAUAUUGAGGAGAAAAGUAAGAAGAAAAAGACUAUCGCACUCAAGUCAACUGCAAUUGAAGAUGAUAAAAGCGAUGAGUCAGAUGAAGGUGAAAAGGAUGAUUUGACUUUAAUUACAAGAAGAUUUAAGAGGUUCAUGAAGAAGAAGAAGCAAAACUUCAAGAGAAGGCCAU
RNAcentral lists this long non-coding RNA (232 nucleotides) under Elaeis guineensis (African oil palm). RNAcentral's name for it is "long non-coding RNA (EGUI_LNC041496)". The record is from RNAcentral. Lineage: Eukaryota; Viridiplantae; Streptophyta; Magnoliopsida; Arecales; Arecaceae.